CCUAAGAGAUACGUGUUAUGUGUAGUGCUCACACAGAUUGUCUGAUGAAGAACGAGCAGAAAUACCGGUAUAGGCUUGUAGCUCAGGUGGUUAGAGCGCACCCCUGAUAAGGGUGAGGUCGGUGGUUCAAGUCCACUCAGGCCUACCAAAUCGUAUUGAUACUGCGUUAUGAACUCACUCGUUUACUGUAAGUAAACUUCGUGACUCCACGCCUUGUCUCACUACGAUUAGCUCAAUUCUUAAUUAAAGGAACAUUUCCGAUAAGAAAGAAAGCUGAGUAACAAAAAACGGUAUUAAGAAUGCAUUAUGGGGCUAUAGCUCAGCUGGGAGAGCGCCUGCCUUGCACGCAGGAGGUCAGCGGUUCGAUCCCGCUUAGCUCCACCAUAAUCUCUUGAAUAUAAACUAAUAAUUCAGAGUAUAUUAGCAAUAGUAUACUGCGAAUUAUUUUGCUCUUUAACAAUCUGGAACAAGCUGAAAAAUUGAAAACAAAUCAAUAUAUCACCGAGGUAUAUUGAUGAGUCUCUCAAAAUCUCAAACUUUGAAUGUGUUUUUGGACAUCAAAGUGGGAUGAGCGAGCAAUUUACAGUUCGAGGCGGCCAGCGCACAGCCAGCGCAACAUACAUAAGUAUGUGAGCAUGGCGAGCACUGCCCAACAACGAAAUGUAAUCUGCGCAGCCAUCACCACCCAGAUGUCUUCAAGAAAAGACACCUUCGGGUUGUGA
This 722-nucleotide unclassified non-coding RNA is filed under the name Proteus penneri. RNAcentral's name for it is "partial 16S-23S ribosomal RNA intergenic spacer". The stretch from base 309 to 381 matches the Rfam family "tRNA". The record is from RNAcentral. Lineage: Bacteria; Pseudomonadati; Pseudomonadota; Gammaproteobacteria; Enterobacterales; Morganellaceae.